This 433-nucleotide ribosomal RNA is filed under the name uncultured bacterium. RNAcentral describes it as "partial 16S ribosomal RNA". It matches the Rfam family "Bacterial small subunit ribosomal RNA", at positions 29 to 507 of the family's 1533-position model. The record is from RNAcentral.
AACGAACGCUGGCGGCAUGCCUAACACAUGCAAGUCGAACGAGACCUUCGGGUCUAGUGGCGCACGGGUGCGUAACGCGUGGGAACCUGCCCUUAGGUUCGGAAUAACUCCCCGAAAGGGGUGCUAAUACCGGAUAAUGUCUUCGGACCAAAGAUUUAUCGCCUUUGGAUGGGCCCGCGUUGGAUUAGCUAGUUGGUAGGGUAAAAGCCUACCAAGGCGACGAUCCAUAGCUGGUCUGAGAGGAUGAUCAGCCACACUGGGACUGAGACACGGCCCAGACUCCUACGGGAGGCAGCAGUGGGGAAUAUUGGACAAUGGGCGAAAGCCUGAUCCAGCAAUGCCGCGUGAGUGAUGAAGGCCUUAGGGUUGUAAAGCUCUUUUACCCGGGACGAUAAUGACAGUACCGGGAGAAUAAGCGCCGGCUAACUCCGUG